This 278-nucleotide ribosomal RNA is filed under the name uncultured bacterium. RNAcentral's name for it is "partial 16S ribosomal RNA". It matches the Rfam family "Bacterial small subunit ribosomal RNA", at positions 506 to 784 of the family's 1533-position model. The record is from RNAcentral.
UGCCAGCCGCCGCGGUAAUACGAAGGUCCCAAGCGUUGUUCGGAAUCACUGGGCGUAAAGCGCAUGUAGGCGGAACAGAAAGUUAGAAGUGAAAUCCCUGGGCUCAACCUAGGAAUUGCUCUUAAGACUUCUGUUCUGGAAUAAGGAGAGGAAAAUGGAGUAUCCAGUGUAGAGGUGAAAUUCGUAGAUAUUGGAUGGAACACCAGUGGCGAAGGCGAUUUUCUGGACUUAUAUUGACGCUGAGAUGCGAAGGCAUGGGUAGCAAACGGGAUUAGAUA